GUUAAAGUUAAUUUUCCAUCAACACCAAUAUUUGAACUACAUUGUCAAAAAGCCAAUAGCAAACUCAAUUUCAAGAAAAUCUUGAUUGUAACUUCAAAUCGCAAGUUGCUCCUUGUCAUCCUCAUGUCUCUUGCGCUGGAGCAUUUGACGGCUUAGGAGAUGCCAACUUCGUAGGAGAUCCAUAAAAAAUACGAGAACACUCAGUGUAAGCAGAUCCAAUGCCCACUCCAGCACCAAAUGCCACUGAUGCCCAACGAGUCACCGGAGUCCUGAAGAAAAGGAGACCGCUAAAGGCCCCAGCCAAGGAAGAGUAAACGAAGCGACGGACCGUAAGAUCGAGACAGGCGUCCCAUUUGGCGUUGACGUCGAGGUUCUCGGCCAUUGAUUUUAUGUGUUAUUGAAGUUGUGCGAUGGGCUUGGUGGUGGUGAGGGUUUUUGUUUUAUGAACUUUCUCUCCGGUUGAAGAUGCUCUCAACGAGUGUGAAAUGAAUUUUUCUUUUCUUCGAACUCGCAUGAGCCUCCAAGUGACGUUUGGCUUUCGCAAGGUAAGCCCAAAAUAACAAUAAUAAAAGGGAAU
RNAcentral lists this unclassified non-coding RNA (577 nucleotides) under Hevea brasiliensis (rubber tree). The record is from RNAcentral. Lineage: Eukaryota; Viridiplantae; Streptophyta; Magnoliopsida; Malpighiales; Euphorbiaceae.